Molecule: ribosomal RNA, 833 nt
Filed under: Rana chensinensis (Chinese brown frog)
Lineage: Eukaryota; Metazoa; Chordata; Amphibia; Anura; Ranidae
Description: partial 18S ribosomal RNA
Source: RNAcentral
GAUGAAAGACGCGGAUGGUACCACUGGUGCCCAUUGCCCCUUAGUCCCAAGCUAAGGCCUCUCCCUCGGACUCUUUGCCGAUGGUGUAGGUUCCUUCCGUCGUCCGCGCGUUUAAUGGGUGAGGGCUGAGCCCCUCCAUCACUGCUUUUUAUUGUUAUGUCCUGAGAAAGCUCCGGGACAUUAACCUUACUCAUGUGAAAUUUAGGAAAUUGCUCCUAGGUAACCUCCCGUUCAGACCACGGUCGUCGGCGCCAUUAAGGUCGAGGUUAUCGCAUAUAAUUUCAACGACGUCAAUUUUUCGAGCAUCAACCUAGAACCCUAGCUCGACCGCCAGGCGGCGCUCCGCUCGAUGGCGGACAGGGUCGGGGACGGAGAGCCGCGGAGGGGCUACGAGAACUGACUCACAGGGCCCCCGGGCUUCGCAAAUGAAACUUUUUUAAUCUCACAAGUUUCGUCCGGCCAGCGGACUUAUGAAGUCGAUCCUUAUUACCUUAUCCUGAGGCCAAGAUAAAACAACCAAAAGCCUUGACCCCGGUACUAAUUCUCCCUGCCGGCCCCCGUAAGCAUAACACGGCGAUCUCCACUUUAAGAACCUGGCCGCGUUCUGCUUGGUUUCGCUUUCGUAAACGGUUCUUACAAAAGUAAUUAGUUCUUGCUUUCAGCCUCCAAGCUUCUGCUAGUCUAUGGCAGCAUCAAGGCUGGUAUUUGCUACGGCUGACCGCUAGGCCGCCGCAAUAAGGGUACUGGGCGGCUCGUCGAAGGCCCUUUGGUUUCAGAAACCCAAGGCCCCCCUCAUACCAACGUUUCGACUUUGAAUUUCCUUAACUGCCUUC